AGGGCUUGACAUACUACAAAUCUUUUCGAAACGAAAGAGUGCCUUCGGGAAUGUAGAUACAGGUGGUGCAUGGCUGUCGUCAGCUCGUGUCGUGAGAUGUUGGGUUAAGUCCCGCAACGAGCGCAACCCUCAUUUUUAGUUGCCAAUUUAUUGGGAUUUCUAGAGAGACUGCCGGUGACAAACCGGAGGAAGGUGAGGAUGACGUCAAGUCAGCAUGCCCCUUAUGCCCUGGGCCACACACGUGCUACAAUGGCGAAGACAAAGAGUCGCAAACCUGCGAAGGCUAGCUAAUCUCGUAAACUUCGUCUAAGUUCGGAUUGUAGGCUGCAACUCGCCUGCAUGAAGUUGGAAUCGCUAGUAAUCGCUGGUCAGCUAUACAG
RNAcentral lists this ribosomal RNA (380 nucleotides) under Haptophyta environmental samples. Its description in RNAcentral is "SSU rRNA". It matches the Rfam family "Bacterial small subunit ribosomal RNA", at positions 976 to 1359 of the family's 1533-position model. Lineage: Eukaryota; Haptophyta. The record is from RNAcentral.